This 484-nucleotide ribosomal RNA is filed under the name uncultured bacterium. RNAcentral describes it as "partial 16S ribosomal RNA". It matches the Rfam family "Bacterial small subunit ribosomal RNA", at positions 30 to 507 of the family's 1533-position model. The record is from RNAcentral.
AUUGAACGCUGGCGGCAGGCCUAACACAUGCAAGUCGAGCGGUAACAGAAAGAAGCUUGCUUCUUUGCUGACGAGCGGCGGACGGGUGAGUAAUGCUUGGGAACAUGCCUUGAGGUGGGGGACAACAGUUGGAAACGACUGCUAAUACCGCAUAAUGUCUACGGCCCAAAGGGGGCUUCGGCUCUCGCCUUUAGCUUGGCCCAAGUGGGAUUAGCUAGUUGGUGAGGUAAUGGCUCACCAAGGCGACGAUCCCUAGCUGGUUUGAGAGGAUGAUCAGCCACACUGGGACUGAGACACGGCCCAGACUCCUACGGGAGGCAGCAGUGGGGAAUAUUGCACAAUGGGCGCAAGCCUGAUGCAGCCAUGCCGCGUGUGUGAAGAAGGCCUUCGGGUUGUAAAGCACUUUCAGUCAGGAGGAAAGGUUAGUAGUUAAUACCUGCUAGCUGUGACGUUACUGACAGAAGAAGCACCGGCUAACUCCGUG